This is a small nucleolar RNA of Phyllostomus discolor (pale spear-nosed bat), 150 nucleotides long. The record is from RefSeq and is a predicted model, not a curated record. Lineage: Eukaryota; Metazoa; Chordata; Mammalia; Chiroptera; Phyllostomidae.
UCUACACAUUGUUAGAGCUUGGGGUCGAGGCCACUGGUGGCCGAUGGACUCACAAGUGUAGGUAGUGUGCUAUACGGGGCAAGGUUUUUGCUAACACCAUGAGGGUUUCUGCCCUAUGAGUGGAAUUUGAUAGUAGUCCUUGCUACUAGU